Molecule: long non-coding RNA, 329 nt
Filed under: Panax ginseng (ginseng)
Lineage: Eukaryota; Viridiplantae; Streptophyta; Magnoliopsida; Apiales; Araliaceae
Description: long non-coding RNA (PGIN_LNC017162)
Source: RNAcentral
CAAAUAAUUACAAAUAUUAAGAACUAGAGCAAAUUUUAGAAGAACUUGUCAGAUUGCUCCUAAUCCUCCACUUGAUCUUUAGUCUCUGAAAUCUCCUUCGUGUUUCCCUUGUUGUUCUCUCUGCAAAUAUCUUGAUAAAAUCCUCUGAUAAUUUACUCCAUACGUCUUUUCUGAAGUUUUUUCCUAUUUGUAUUGGUUCAAACCCUCAUCCAAAUUCCUAUUUGGCUUCAAAAUCCAACUUGCACCAAAACAAACCAACAAAAGUCGUGGCCUAGCUGGCGCUAGGUUUAGUAUAGUUCAAGUGCACUAGGCGCUAGGCAAGGACCAAG